CCUACGGGGGGCUGCAGUGGGGAAUUUUGGACAAUGGGGGCAACCCUGAUCCAGCCAUGCCGCGUGCGGGAAGAAGGCCUUCGGGUUGUAAACCGCUUUUGUCAGGGAAGAAAUCUUCCGAGCUAAUACCUUGGGAGGAUGACGGUACCUGAAGAAUAAGCACCGGCUAACUACGUGCCAGCAGCCGCGGUAAUACGUAGGGUGCAAGCGGUGCUCGGAGUUUCUGCAGGUAAAUGUGCCGGAGAGGGUUGAAAUCCCCGGGCUUAACCUGGGAACUGCACUUGUGACUGUACGGCUGGAGUACGGCAGAGGGGGAUGGAAUUCCGCGUGUAGCAGUGAAAUGCGUAGAUAUGCGGAGGAACACCGAUGGCGAAGGCAGUCCCCUGGGCCUGUACUGACGCUCAUGCACGAAAGCGUGGGGAGCAAACAGGAUUAGAUACCCCUGUAGUC
Molecule: ribosomal RNA, 450 nt
Filed under: uncultured bacterium
Lineage: Bacteria
Description: partial 16S ribosomal RNA
Rfam family: Bacterial small subunit ribosomal RNA
Source: RNAcentral